AUGUUCCGGAUCAAGGCAGGGAUGGGAAUGAGAAGUAGCAGCUGUUCUAAGGGCAAAGACGAUGAAAAUCCAAACAAUUCUAUGCAAACGAGCAGCCUCCUGUGUCUGCAGCAGAGAGAGGGGAUCCAGGGACACAAAAGCAAAAAUCCAGUUUGCAAGGCCCUCCCAGGUGGAAUGCAAGGAGCCUGGAAUCAGGCACACCAGGCUGUAGAUCCCAUCUCCUCAGUUCACUAGGUGCGGGAUCAUUGGUGAGUGAUUUAACCUCUCUAGGUCUUGAUUUCCCCAAGAUAAAAUCAAAAUAAUAGUCAUUGUGAGGAUUUAAACUAGAUGAGAUACACAGGCCUGUAGCAACAUGAUUCAUUCAUUCCCAACUGUCUUUCCAGGGUUUUUCAGUUGUAUUUCUUCUUCUGCCUUUCACACUGAGGCAAAUGUAAAAGUUAAGGAAAACCCACCAGAAACGAUGUCUGGCUCUGUCUUGGGAAACACGGUGAACUCGCAAAGUUAAGAGUUACUGCGGAACAUAUAAGGUGAACCUUUCAUUUCUUUAAAAGUUGUGAUGUUAUCACCUCCAAUAUGUAUAGUGAGCU
Molecule: long non-coding RNA, 587 nt
Filed under: Vulpes vulpes (red fox)
Lineage: Eukaryota; Metazoa; Chordata; Mammalia; Carnivora; Canidae
Description: lncRNA (ENSVVUG00000006118.1)
Source: RNAcentral